This 441-nucleotide ribosomal RNA is filed under the name uncultured bacterium. RNAcentral describes it as "partial 16S ribosomal RNA". It matches the Rfam family "Bacterial small subunit ribosomal RNA", at positions 338 to 795 of the family's 1533-position model. The record is from RNAcentral.
CCUACGGGUGGCAGCAGUGGGGAAUAUUGCACAAUGGGGGAAACCCUGAUGCAGCGACGCCGCGUGAGUGAAGAAGUAUUUCGGUAUGUAAAGCUCUAUCAGCAGGGAAGAAGAAAGACGGUACCUGACUAAGAAGCCCCGGCUAACUACGUGCCAGCAGCCGCGGUAAUACGUAGGGGGCAAGCGUUAUCCGGAUUUACUGGGUUUAAAGGGAGCGUAGGCGGGGAAGCAAGUCUGAAGUGAAAGCCCGGGGCUUAACCACGGGACUGCUUUGGAAACUGUUUGACUAGAGUGCUGGAGAGGUAAGUGGAAUUCGUGGUGUAGCGGUGAAAUGCGUAGAUAUUAGGAGGAACACCAGUGGCGAAGGCGGCUUACUGGACAGUAACUGACGUUGAGGCUCGAAAGCGUGGGGAGCAAACAGGAUUAGAUACCCGUGUAGUC